CUACAAAAUAGUCAUUUAGGGGCAAUUAAUUAGCGGCAAUAAACUAAUGGCUGCAAAAUAAUUUAAUAAACGCAACUAUUAGCGGCAUAUGAGCAUUAGCCGGAAUUAUCUACUUUUUUACUGGCAACAGAAAGCAAUGGCCACUAUGAGCCACAAAUUGGAAGCGCCUUAUAUUAUUUCAUCUUUUCCCUCUAGAUUUUCCACUAAAAUAACCUGUUCCCUCCCAUUCCUUUUAUCUAAUUUUAGAGAAAUUUGAAAGAUGCUAUUUCAGAAAUACUCAACCCACACAUCGGCGCUGCCCUAUCGCUACUGCUCCACUUCGUCUCUAUCUCACCAUCACCGCGAGUAUCCCCAGAGUCGUUGUUGUUAGACAUCCUUACAUUGGAUUUGCUGGAAUGGAAGAAAUAAAUGAGGCUAAUUCUCGAGGGCCGGCCAACUUUACAAUAGCUGAGGGUUGCUAUUCACGAAGCAGUGGAGCAACAAACUAUUUUCAUUGCUAAGGCAGGAAUAACAACAGUCCUUGAUUCAAGAACCUCGGUACUUGCUGCAGCUAAAUCUCCGUCUGGAAGCUAUGAUGAUCUCAAGGUCUAUAUAAUUCCUUUCAAUUGUUUUGAUGUUAUUUUUUAGUUCAAGAACCUCCAUGCUCGCAGCAGCUAACCUUCUCUUUGGAAGCUAUGAUGAUCUCAAGGUCUAUAUAAUUCCUUUCAAUUGUUUUGAUGUUUUACAAAUUUCUGCUACUUGUUCUGGCAAUAUAGCAGGCGCUGAUGUACUUACUAUUUGCAUUGCUGACCAGCACAAGAUAACAUUAACUUGUAGACAACAAUUCUUUCAGGAUUUGAUUUGGCAGUAUGUGGUUUCCUACUUAUUUAUAAAAGCUUGAGGAAUGAAUAACUUCUAUCGACUUAACGCUGUACUGUUCCAAUUUUGAAGAUUGAGUUUAAUUUUUUUAUAAAUGCACUGUCAGUUUAAUGUCUUCGGCUCUACCUUUUGGCGUGUUAUUUCUGGUGUUCCUUUUUAUGUUUGUACUUAUAUCUAUAUCAUCUCUAUUUUAAGGCAUUCCUUUCGCUAAUUAUGUUUUGGAAGGUGGUUGUGAAUCUUGUGAUCAUAGUACAAGACCUGAUCAUUUUAUCUAAACAUUGGAUCCUUUGUCUUCCCCACUUGUGGGAUUACACUAGGUAUAUUGUUGUUGUUGUAUUGUAUCCUUUGUCAAAUACUUAAGACGUGCAGAAAGUUUAAGGAUCUUUUUAUCUAAUCAUUGUGUUUUAUCUCUGAUGCUUAAGAUAAAAGAUUAUGGACUCAUCAACUUCAUGACUUUAAAUAUCCAGGCAUGAUGUGAUUAAGAGUGUAAACUUUAUGGCUUUUAGAUAUCUUCUGUACCUUUUUCAACAUUUAAGGCAUUAUUUUUUAGCUUAUUUAUGAGACAUUCUUAGCUUCUUUAAUUCCUAACUUUCUUUGUAUGGCUAGAGCAAAAGAAUCAGUGUAUAGGCCUCCUUUAGUAUUUUAUUUCUCAGUUAUAGAUGUAGUUAAUUGUUUAAAUUUGUCUACCACUUUAUACUUAUGAUAAUCCUGCCUAGAGUAAAUUAAGCUGCUUUUUCUAUUAUCAGUAUUAUAAUUUAGUAGCUUAAUCACUGGGAAAAUUAAGAAGUGUAAUAGUUUAAGAAAGGUUUAUGUCAACAGGUUCUCGAUAUUGCUACUUAUAUAAUCAGCUGGCGUGAGCUUUAGAGUUCUAAUUUUAACUUGGCCUUUUUGUCUCUUACUGUCUAUUUAACUUAUAUCAACUAACUAUAGCGAAAUCUUUCUUUUCUUAACUUUAUAUUUGCAAUAUGGACACGGUGCUUUUUUGAACCAAAAGUACCCAUGGUAAUAAGUAGACAUGCCAAGAAAUGUUUAUCUUUUCACCACUGGAAAGAUGCAUUUAGCAUGUUAGACUUCGUGCCAAAUUAUUGAGAAAGACCUUCAUCUUUUUUCCACUUAGAAAAAUUAUUUAUGUACUUUGAACUUAUCCCAAUUAGGGCACUUAUCUAAGAUAAUAUAGUUGAUUGUUUCGUGCUACAUUUUUACUUUGUGCUGAUUCUCACAACGGUUACUUUUUCCAGUUUAUUGCAAUUUUUUGUGUGGCAAUUGUUUCAUUUAUUUAGUGGUUGAUCAGAUUGAUAGCAAAGAACAACCUUUAUGACAUUGUCAAUUGCUUAAUUUUCAAGUUUACUGCUGGAAUACAAUGAUAGCAAAGAACAACCAUGGAAAAGUAGACAACAAAUGCACCUAUCACCGUAGUUGCUACUGUUUUUUUUUUCCUUUUAUAUUAUCUCUUCUUCUCCGCGAUUUAUGGAAUCUGGCUGCGUUUUGUUUUUUAGUUUUUUAUGUGGCUGCAUUUUGUUUCAGUUUUCUCUUUCUGCAGUUUGUAAAUGGUUCUUUUUACUGUUGAAUUUUUCCUUCUUCAGUUGUUGCCAUUGAGUUUUUCAUAUUGUUGUUUAAUCGGUUAAUUUUGAAGUGUCUCAGCCUUUGGUAUCUGUUGUAGAUUUCUGGAAAUCCAAUAUCUGGAGUUGUCUAGAGUCUCAACCUCAAUGUUUUAAGAAUUCACAAUAUAUUUAGAUAUGUAGACUUGCGAUGUUUUUUCACAUUUUAUUUCAUCUUUUGACAAAAUUA
This is a long non-coding RNA of Lycium barbarum (goji berry), 2646 nucleotides long. RefSeq lists it as uncharacterized. NCBI's taxonomy places the organism in Eukaryota, Viridiplantae, Streptophyta, Magnoliopsida, Solanales, Solanaceae. The record is from RefSeq and is a predicted model, not a curated record. The transcript is spliced from 3 exons.